UAGGGAAUUUUCCGCAAUGGGCGAAAGCCUGACGGAGCAACGCCGCGUGAGCGAGGACGGCCUUCGGGUUGUAAAGCUCUGUUCUUCGGGAAGAAUGGCGGAAGGGCGAACAACCCUUUCGUUUGACGGUACCGAAGGAGAAAGCCCCGGCUAACUACGUGCCAGCAGCCGCGGUAAUACGUAGGGGGCGAGCGUUGUCCGGAAUUAUUGGGCGUAAAGCGCGCGCAGGCGGCCGGUUAAGUCAGAUGUGAAAGGCUGCGGCUCAACCGCAGAGCGGCAUCUGAAACUGGCCGGCUUGAGUGCAGGAGAGGGGAGCGGAAUUCCCGGUGUAGCGGUGGAAUGCGUAGAGAUCGGGAGGAACACCAGUGGCGAAGGCGGCUCUCUGGCCUGUAACUGACGCUGAGGCGCGAAAGCGUGGGGAGCGAACA
This 428-nucleotide ribosomal RNA is filed under the name uncultured Planifilum sp. Its description in RNAcentral is "bacterial SSU rRNA". It matches the Rfam family "Bacterial small subunit ribosomal RNA", at positions 355 to 774 of the family's 1533-position model. Lineage: Bacteria; Bacillati; Bacillota; Bacilli; Caryophanales; Thermoactinomycetaceae. The record is from RNAcentral.